GACGAACGCUGGCGGCGUGCUUAACACAUGCAAGUCGAACGGUGAAGGGAUCAGCUUGCUGGUUCUGGAUGAGUGGCGAACGGGUGAGUAACACGUGAGUAACCUGCCCCCUUCUUCUGGAUAACCGCAUGAAAGUGUGGCUAAUACGGGAUAUUCUGGGUCUGUCGCAUGAUGGGUCUGGGAAAGAUAUUGUUUCGGUGGGGGAUGGGCUCGCGGCCUAUCAGCUUGUUGGUGGGGGGAUGGCCUACCAAGGCGGGGACGGGUAGCCGGCCUGAGAGGGGGGACGGUCACACGGGGACGGAGCCCCGGCCCAGACUCGUACGGGAGGCAGCAGUGGGGAAUAUUGCACAAUGGGCGCCAGCCUGAUGCAGCGCCGCCGCGUGAGGGAUGGCGGCCUUCGGGUUGUAAACCUCUUUCGCCAGUGAAGCAGGCCUGCUCCUUGUGGGUGGGUUGACGGUAGCUGGAUAAGAAGCGCCGGCUAACUACGUG
Molecule: ribosomal RNA, 489 nt
Filed under: uncultured bacterium
Lineage: Bacteria
Description: partial 16S ribosomal RNA
Rfam family: Bacterial small subunit ribosomal RNA
Source: RNAcentral